GAUGAACGCUGGCGGCGUGCCUAAUACAUGCAAGUCGAGCGAACAGACGAGGAGCUUGCUCCUCUGACGUUAGCGGCGGACGUGUGAGUAACACGUGGAUAACCCACCUAUAAGACUGGGAUAACUUCGGGAAACCGGAGCUAAUACCGGAUAAUAUAUUGAACCGCAUGGUUCAAUAGUGAAAGACGGUUUUGCUGUCACUUAUCGAUGGAUCCGCGCCGCAUUAGCUAGUUGGUAAGGUAACGGCUUACCAAGGCAACGAUGCGUAGCCGACCUGAGAGAGGGAUCGGCCACACUGGAACUGAAACACGGUCCAGACUCCUACGAGAGGCAGCAGUAGGGAAUCUUCCGCAAUGGGCGAAAGCCUGACAGAGUAACGCGGCGUGAGUGAUGAAGGUCUUCGGAUCGUAAAACUCUGUUAUUAGGGAAGAACAAAUGUGUAAGUAAAUGUGGACGUCUUGACGGUACCUAAUCAGGAAGCCACGGCUAACUACGUG
This 497-nucleotide ribosomal RNA is filed under the name uncultured bacterium. Its description in RNAcentral is "partial 16S ribosomal RNA". It matches the Rfam family "Bacterial small subunit ribosomal RNA", at positions 28 to 507 of the family's 1533-position model. The record is from RNAcentral.